RNAcentral lists this long non-coding RNA (497 nucleotides) under Nicotiana benthamiana. RNAcentral describes it as "long non-coding RNA (NBEN_LNC006039)". The record is from RNAcentral. Lineage: Eukaryota; Viridiplantae; Streptophyta; Magnoliopsida; Solanales; Solanaceae.
ACGAUGCUGUCCUGUUUUAGCCUUUACUGUAAUUCUACUUGUUUUGCUAUUUCAAUGCACGCUAAGAUGAAACCAUUUCUUGCAGUCUGAAUGACAUGCCAGAAAUAAUGAAGCAGAUGCCACCCCUCCCUGUAAAGCUAAAUGACGAGCUUGCCAGCUUAAUCCUUCCGUCUCGGCCACCAUUGCCAAAUAAAUCAUGAGAUCCUGGUUUCUAUAGUGCUUGGGCUAGAUGUUUCUUAGAGUUUACUGAAGUUGAGAUCCUCUCUUGCCAAACAAAUCAUGAGAUCCUGGUUUCUAUAGGGAUUGGGUUAUCGAUAGAUGUUUCUUAGAGUUUACUGAAGUUGAGAUCCUCUGGAUUACUUAGAUAGCAUAAUAAAAUAGUGAAUCUAGUCUAGUUAUUCCUCGUGGAAAUAUGUAUCAAGAUGAGUUCCUUUGGGCUGUUAGGACUCUCCAUUUGUUUACAUUAGUUAAUUCCUUUUUUUAUAUUAUGUAGUUUU